This 372-nucleotide ribosomal RNA is filed under the name uncultured organism. RNAcentral's name for it is "bacterial SSU rRNA". It matches the Rfam family "Bacterial small subunit ribosomal RNA", at positions 526 to 896 of the family's 1533-position model. The record is from RNAcentral.
CAGAGGGCGCGAGCGUUGUUCGGAAUUACUGGGCGUAAAGCGCGCGCAGGCGGACCUGUGCGUCCGGAGUGAAAUCUCGCCGCUCAACGGCGAGGCUGCUUUGGAAACGGCAGGUCUGGGGACCGGUAGAGGCUGGUAGAAUUGCAGGUGUAGCGGUGGAAUGCGUAGAGAUCUGCAAGAAUACCCGUGGCGAAGGCGGCCAGCUGGGCCGGAUCCGACGCUGAGGCGCGAAAGCGUGGGGAGCAAACAGGAUUAGAUACCCUGGUAGUCCACGCCGUAAACGAUGGGCACUAGGUGCCGGGGGGAGCGACCCCGUCGGUGCCGCAGCUAACGCGUUAAGUGCCCCGCCUGGGGAGUACGGCCGCAAGGCUG